GUAUUUUUCCCUAGUAAGCCAUUAGUGCUAAACUGGGGGCUAAUUUUACAAAUUGGGAAUCAUAAGCUCAAUAACCUUGUGCUCUAUUUGUACCUUGUUACUUUUCGAGUAUAACUUUCUCAUAGCGGUUUAAAUAAUGGCUACAUACUUGCUCCUUUUAUCGUUUCCAUAUAGAUUUUCAAUGUGUUCUGAGAAUUUUGGGUCGUCUAGGAUACAAUCCACACUGUCUACUCUGCAUGGGCUAUGCAACAAC
RNAcentral lists this unclassified non-coding RNA (253 nucleotides) under Hevea brasiliensis (rubber tree). Lineage: Eukaryota; Viridiplantae; Streptophyta; Magnoliopsida; Malpighiales; Euphorbiaceae. The record is from RNAcentral.